RNAcentral lists this long non-coding RNA (547 nucleotides) under Carica papaya (papaya). RNAcentral's name for it is "long non-coding RNA (CPAP_LNC000208)". Lineage: Eukaryota; Viridiplantae; Streptophyta; Magnoliopsida; Brassicales; Caricaceae. The record is from RNAcentral.
UGACACAGACACUGUAUACAACUUUUCUUAGUAGUGUCGUAUUCCCAGAAGUAGACACAAACAACACAGAAUCAAGUUUCCUAUGUAAUAUAUUUAAUUUUGAUGCAAAAAUAUGUAAAACAAAUGAAUGCGAUGCACCAGUAUCAAUCAAAACAUGAGCAAAAUGAUUACAGAUAGUGUACGUAUCACGUACCACGUCCGGGUCGGCUUCUGCAUCAUGCUGAGUGAGGUUGUAAGCCAUGUCCUAGAUAUGAGGUCUGGCCUAGUUCUAGUUCCUCAGGCACUACCGCAUAUGCGACAGGUGUUAUUGAGGCGAUAACAGAGUCGGUUCCCAUGAUCCUUAACACAGUGUUGACAGGUCUUACUGCGCCCUGCUGCUGGAACCUGAGAAGAGCUUGAGUCAUCAGCCUGGGUCUCUUGUUCUAUUGAACAGGAGCAGUAGAUGCUAGUCUACGGUGUGGAGCCGAGGGCCUGAGGUUCACUACUAAUGGAGAAAAUGUACGAAGGGUCCUCUCCACUAACUGUGCAUUGGCCAAGACAGCCAAAU